GUGCUCACUUUGGCGGCACAUGCACUAAAAUUAGAAAGAUACAGAGAAGAUUAACAUGGCCCCCUGCACAAGGAUGACAUGUAAAUUCAUGAAAUGUUCGAUAUUUUU
Molecule: small nuclear RNA, 108 nt
Filed under: Aotus nancymaae (Ma's night monkey)
Lineage: Eukaryota; Metazoa; Chordata; Mammalia; Primates; Aotidae
Source: RNAcentral